ANNCGUNCUCGGUNCCAAGUANUCCAUGCGGAGUCGCAGCGGACAGAUGGGAGCUUGCUCCCUGAUGUUAGCGGCGGACGGGUGAGUAACACGUGGGUAACCUGCCUGUAAGACUGGGAUAACUCCGGGAAACCGGGGCUAAUACCGGAUGGUUGUUUGAACCGCAUGGUUCAGACAUAAAAGGUGGCUUCGGCUACCACUUACAGAUGGACCCGCGGCGCAUUAGCUAGUUGGUGAGGUAACGGCUCACCAAGGCGACGAUGCGUAGCCGACCUGAGAGGGUGAUCGGCCACACUGGGACUGAGACACGGCCCAGACUCCUACGGGAGGCAGCAGUAGGGAAUCUUCCGCAAUGGACGAAAGUCUGACGGAGCAACGCCGCGUGAGUGAUGAAGGUUUUCGGAUCGUAAAGCUCUGUUGUUAGGGAAGAACAAGUGCCGUUCAAAUAGGGCGGCACCUUGACGGUACCUAACCAGAAAGCCACGGCUAACUACGUGCCAGCAGCCGCGGUAAUACGUAGGUGGCAAGCGUUGUCCGGAAUUAUUGGGCGUAAAGGGCUCGCAGCGGUUCUUAGUCUGAUGUGAAAGCCCCCGCUCACCGGGAGGUCAUUGGAACUGGGGACUUGAGUGCAGAAGAGAGAGUGGAAUUCCACGUGUACCGUGAAUGCGUAGAGAUGUGAGGAACACCAUG
Molecule: ribosomal RNA, 690 nt
Filed under: Paenibacillus lentimorbus
Lineage: Bacteria; Bacillati; Bacillota; Bacilli; Caryophanales; Paenibacillaceae
Description: bacterial SSU rRNA
Rfam family: Bacterial small subunit ribosomal RNA
Source: RNAcentral